Molecule: long non-coding RNA, 2284 nt
Filed under: Trifolium pratense (red clover)
Lineage: Eukaryota; Viridiplantae; Streptophyta; Magnoliopsida; Fabales; Fabaceae
Description: long non-coding RNA (TPRA_LNC013085)
Source: RNAcentral
AGGUUUAAGGAUACUGAGAAUUAUGGGAAUGGAAACACGGUAUAUAAGUAAGCUUUGACCGGAGUGGAACCGAGAUUGAGUAUUGAAGUAUGAAAACUGGAAAAUUGUAGUAAGUCUGACGGGUGCAUUAGUACAGAUGAUAGGGUCAUGAGAAUGGCACAUAGUAUAAUUGGAGUGUGGUAUAACAGUAAUAUCCAACCGGCACGGGUGUAUUGUGUGGACCUAAUUACAAGGAGCACCUUAAUUCAAAUAAGACUUAUCAGAAGUCGGUGAAUCAAACUCUUUCAAAUCCGUCUAACCUUCAUUUCAGCUCAGUAGUUUUCCCCUAGUGACAUAGGUCAACUAAUUACACUAUCGGAGAAAGAUAAAUUAGACUUCAUGCAAUCCCUUAGUUCUUAAUAUCAGCCUGUCGUACCAUUUUCGUAGAAUAAGAACACUAAUCGUUCCCAGCAAGAUAAGUUCAGCCUCUCAGUUCAUAACUAGUAUCCUAGUCAGACACAUAACAAGCAAAUUUUGUUUGAGUAAUGGCUGGAAUUAAUUCUAAUACUAUCAGUUACCUAAGCCGGCAUAUUAAGUGUCAUUAUCAUUGAUUCAAGAACAAGUAAUGCAGUUUUGUACUAGCAUCAAGAAUUCACUGAACAACUUUCUGUAUUCAAACCUCUCAACUAAUAACUCAACAUACUCGGUUAAACCUUUUGUGAGAGUUUAUCAGCUAAGUUCUAAUGAGAAUCAGGUCUGUCUCAAUUCCAGAGAUUAGUCGGUUAAGAGAAAUCAUGAAGUAUGAACAUAAUGCAAUAGAAUUAUGAUCUUCAGUUACCUACCCUUUCACUUGAACUCUAAUUCUGCUAAAUUUAUCAAAUUGAUGCGAUGGAUGAUCCAUAAUCAGCAAGCCUUAUUAAGUUAUGAACAUUACGUUCCCCAUGCCUAUUUAAUCAUGAUAAGAGGGAGAUAAAUUCUUCCGGUACAUUGAGACCUAUUACUUACAUUUAAUGCAAGAAUUCAAUUAAGUUAUGUACCAUUGUACCUUAUAAUUCCUCAGUAUCAGCGAAUUGGAUUCAUGUAUAGAGUGUUAUCCUUAUGUAACUUUGACGAAGUGUCUUCAGCUUUCCAACUUUGUUAUUAUAACUUAGUUCGGGCCUAUGUAAGUUUGAGUUGCUUGUUAAGAGUAAUGAGCCGUGUUUCGUUAAGGACUAUCAGUUAUUCAUGUCGACCUUAAGAACAGUAACAUUAUGUUUAUCACCAAGAAAUUCUCCAAUCUUUUAGCAUCAUUACCGAGGACCGGUUCAGAAUCACAGAAGUCAAAUUAGCAAUUAAGGAUCCCUAGAAAUUAAGUUCAAACUCUCGCUCGUCUUGUUAACCUGUCAAGCAGCAUGGUUAAGGUACCACGAACGUUGGAAACGUUACUGUAAUCAAUUAAGUUCAUCUUUCUUUAUAAGGUCUUACCAUUUCAAUUUGGAUAAAAAUCCAAAACCAUCCAGAGAUAUAAGAGGUAACCUCGAUGAACAUCGAUGGAAUGAGAUAAUAGUAAGUGAUAAAAAGUGAAGUGUUGCAGACAUGUUAGAUGGUUGUAAAGUAUUAUGUAUACAGUGGUGCGCCUGUCGUCACAAAACGAUGCAAGUGUUGUUUUGUGAUAUCUAUGGUACGAGAAGUAAUAAUAAAAGCAAUAACACCGAAUAAGAUGAGACGAUGUGUGACAAUGUCAGGGAAUUUGUAGACGAAGACUGUAAUGACGCGUAGAGAGAAUGCCAGUAAGUAGUCGAAUCAGAGUGCGCAGCCGGGAAGUGGUUGAGAAUGUAGUUAGUAGAUUGACUUGUAGUUCAACAACUCUUUGAGAGAGGAAAAUUUUAUUCCAAAGAAUUGAAAGUGGGGAACCAUAAAAUGAUUAAAGAUCGUAUGACGAGUAAGUUACGCAAAUGUUCAUGUUUGGACCUGAGAUUGUAAGUAUAGAAUAACCUUGAGAGCCAAGUUUGUGAUGGUAAAACGAUUCAUUUGAGAAGUUUGAUGUGGUGAACUAGUAAGAUUAAGUAUGCUCCGGCGUUGAAUUGAAAAGUGCAAAAGGAGAAAAGUUGCUCCGUGAGCGUUUAAGCUGAGGAAAAGUAACAGAGGGAGCUAAUAUAAGAUGAGUAUGUAUCUAAAAGUUGUAUUAUGUGCUGAGAUUAUGAGUUCAACUUCAUGGAAUAAACGAGUAGGAUUUCCAAAAGUAUCAUAAGUGAACGCCAACGCAGUGAAGAAUGACAAUUACUAACCUUGAACGAUAAAUCAUGAUCAAUUAAGAAACGAAAUC